CCUACGGGUGGCAGCAGUGGGGAAUAUUGCGCAAUGGGCGAAAGCCUGACGCAGCGACGCCGCGUGAGGGAUGAAGGUCUUCGGAUCGUAAACCUCUGUCAGCAGGGAAGAACGGUCACUGUGCUAAUCAGCAGUGAAUUGACGGUACCUGCAAAGGAAGCACCGGCUAACUCCGUGCCAGCAGCCGCGGUAAUACGGAGGGUGCGAGCGUUAAUCGGAAUUACUGGGCGUAAAGGGCGCGUAGGCGGUAUGUCAAGUCAAGGGUGAAAUCCCCGCGCUCAACGUGGGAACUGCCUUUGAAACUGGCAAACUGGAGUGGGGGAGAGGAUAGUGGAAUUCGAGGUGUAGGAGUGAAAUGCGUAGAUAUCUGGAGGAACAUCAGUGGCGAAGGCGACUAUCUGGCACAUAACUGACGCUGAGGAGCGAAAGCGUGGGUAGCAAACAGGAUUAGAUACCCGUGUAGUC
RNAcentral lists this ribosomal RNA (465 nucleotides) under uncultured bacterium. RNAcentral's name for it is "partial 16S ribosomal RNA". It matches the Rfam family "Bacterial small subunit ribosomal RNA", at positions 338 to 795 of the family's 1533-position model. The record is from RNAcentral.